This 501-nucleotide ribosomal RNA is filed under the name uncultured bacterium. Its description in RNAcentral is "partial 16S ribosomal RNA". It matches the Rfam family "Bacterial small subunit ribosomal RNA", at positions 30 to 523 of the family's 1533-position model. The record is from RNAcentral.
AUUGAACGCUGGCGGCAGGCUUAACACAUGCAAGUCGAGCGGAGAUGAGGUGCUUGCACCUUAUCUUAGCGGCGGACGGGUGAGUAAUGCUUAGGAAUCUGCCUAUUAGUGGGGGACAACAUUCCGAAAGGAAUGCUAAUACCGCAUGCGUCCUACGGGAGAAAGCAGGGGAUCUUCGGACCUUGCGCUAAUAGAUGAGCCUAAGUCGGAUUAGCUAGUUGGUGGGGGAAAGGCCUACCAAGGCGACGAUCUGUAGCGGGUCUGAGAGGAUGAUCCGCCACACUGGGACUGAGACACGGCCCAGACUCCUACGGGAGGCAGCAGUGGGGAAUAUUGGACAAUGGGGGGAACCCUGAUCCAGCCAUGCCGCGUGUGUGAAGAAGGCCUUAUGGUUGUAAAGCACUUUAAGCGAGGAGGAGGCUACUGAGACUAAUACUCUUGGAUAGUGGACGUUACUCGCAGAAUAAGCACCGGCUAACUCUGUGCCAGCAGCCGCGGUAA